RNAcentral lists this transfer RNA (73 nucleotides) under Crassvirales sp. RNAcentral describes it as "tRNA-His". It matches the Rfam family "tRNA". From Rfam's summary of the family: Transfer RNA (tRNA) molecules are approximately 80 nucleotides in length. Their secondary structure includes four short double-helical elements and three loops (D, anti-codon, and T loops). Further hydrogen bonds mediate the characteristic L-shaped molecular structure. tRNAs have two regions of fundamental functional importance: the anti-codon, which is responsible for specific mRNA codon recognition, and the 3' end, to which the tRNAs corresponding amino acid is attached (by aminoacyl-tRNA synthetases). tRNAs cope with the degeneracy of the genetic code in two manners: having more than one tRNA (with a specific anti-codon) for a particular amino acid; and 'wobble' base-pairing, i.e. permitting non-standard base-pairing at the 3rd anti-codon position. The record is from RNAcentral. Lineage: Duplodnaviria; Heunggongvirae; Uroviricota; Caudoviricetes; Crassvirales.
GUGUAGUUAGCUUAAUUGGUCAAAGCACUGGAUUGUGGCUCCAGAGGAUAGAGUUCAAGUCUCUGCUACACCC